RNAcentral lists this ribosomal RNA (465 nucleotides) under Vreelandella stevensii. RNAcentral's name for it is "partial 16S ribosomal RNA". It matches the Rfam family "Bacterial small subunit ribosomal RNA", at positions 338 to 795 of the family's 1533-position model. The record is from RNAcentral. Lineage: Bacteria; Pseudomonadati; Pseudomonadota; Gammaproteobacteria; Oceanospirillales; Halomonadaceae.
CCUACGGGCGGCAGCAGUGGGGAAUAUUGGACAAUGGGGGGAACCCUGAUCCAGCCAUGCCGCGUGUGUGAAGAAGGCCCUCGGGUUGUAAAGCACUUUCAGUGAGGAAGAACGCCUGGUGGUUAAUACCCAUCAGGAAAGACAUCACUCACAGAAGAAGCACCGGCUAACUCCGUGCCAGCAGCCGCGGUAAUACGGAGGGUGCGAGCGUUAAUCGGAAUUACUGGGCGUAAAGCGCGCGUAGGUGGCUUGAUAAGCCGGUUGUGAAAGCCCCGGGCUCAACCUGGGAACGGCAUCCGGAGGUGGCGAGCAGAGGCGCAGGGGAGGAAGGUAGAAGCGGGGGGGUAGCGGCGAAACGGGCAGAGGUCGGGCGGAGUGCCCGGGGCGAAGGAGGACCUAUCGGGUGACAAUGACCCGGAGGUCCGCAAUCGUGGGUAGACAACAGGAUCAGAACGACGAGGGGUC